UUUACCGAAAAAGUUUGAUUUUUAAUUCAGUUGAUAAGUUUGUGGUUGUCGAGUAGAGUAAAAAAUUGAUUUAAUGUUGUGACAAAUAAGUCGUUUGCUUUUAUAUCUGUUUUUUGUCUAAGUUUUCUAUUUAUUUAUCAGGCGAAGAGGUCUGGUAAAUGUGUAUAUAUUUAAUGUUUAGUUUGAUUAAUAGGGUUAAAAAUACCCAAUUAUUAAAGUUUGUUAUAAUUUGGUUUAUUUUUAGUUAUAUAUUACAUUUGGAGGACAAUUAUAUUUAAUAGAUUGUUAUAUUUAUGAGACAAUGAGUAAUCAAAAAAAUUUUAUUGUUUCUCAAGCAUAUUCCGUCUGUUUAUUAAAAACAUUUCUAUAUGAAAUUUUAUAUAGUAGGGCCUGCUCAAUGUUUAGUUAUUAAUAGCCGCAGUAUUUUGACUGUGCGAAGGUAGCAUAAUUAAUUGCCUUUUAAUUGGAGGCUUGUUUGAAUGGUUUGACGUGAUUAUUGUUAACAUUAUUUUUGUUAGUGAAAUUAAUUAUGAGGGCACAGAAUCCUCUUUAGUUAAUUAGACGGAAAGACCCCGGGAUCUUUUAAUUUUGCCUGGGGCAGGUUAUAAUAUUUCAAUUUUUAUAUUUUGACCCUAUUUUAGGUUAAUUGAUGUAAGUUACCCCGGGGAUAACAGUGUAAUAAUUUAUUAGAGAUCAUAUCGGUUAAGUUGUUUGCCACCUCGAUGUUGACUUAAGUAUAUAAUAGGGCGCAGUAGUUUUAUUAUGUGGUCUGUUCGACCUUAGUUACUUCCAUGAGUUGAGUUAAGACCGGCGUGAGCCAGGUCGGUUCUUAUCUAUU
Molecule: ribosomal RNA, 838 nt
Filed under: Ichthybothrium ichthybori
Lineage: Eukaryota; Metazoa; Platyhelminthes; Cestoda; Bothriocephalidea; Bothriocephalidae
Description: partial 16S ribosomal RNA
Rfam family: Bacterial large subunit ribosomal RNA (bases 531-838)
Source: RNAcentral